GGCGGGUCUCCCCGCAUGGUGAGUUGGAGCAACGGGUCAGGGGCGGAAGCCAGCAGCCUACUCUGAUAAGUCAGUGCCGGGGGUUAGGCUCGCCGCC
Neisseria elongata subsp. glycolytica ATCC 29315 is the source of this 97-nucleotide non-coding RNA. It matches the Rfam family "Bacterial small signal recognition particle RNA". From Rfam's summary of the family: The signal recognition particle (SRP) is a universally conserved ribonucleoprotein involved in the co-translational targeting of proteins to membranes. The record is from Rfam. NCBI's taxonomy places the organism in Bacteria, Pseudomonadati, Pseudomonadota, Betaproteobacteria, Neisseriales, Neisseriaceae.